UACGUAGGGGGCGAGCGUUGUCCGAAGUUACUGGGCGUAAAGAGCGCGUAGGCUGGUCUUUAAGUGAGUGGUGAAAGGUUCGGGCUCAACCCGGACACUGCCUUUCAUACUGGGGACCUUGAGUGUGGGAGAGGCGAGUGGAAUGGUCGGUGUAGCGGUGAAAUGCGUAGAUAUCGAUCGGAACACCCAUGGCGAAGGCAGCUCGCUGGCCUAACACUGACGCUGAGGCGCGAAAGCGUGGGGAGCAAACAGGAUUAGAUACCCUGGUAGUCCACGCCGUAAACGAUGAGUGCUAGAUGUAAGGGGUAUCGACCCCCCUUGUGUCGCAGCUAACGCAAUAAGCACUCCGCCUGGGGAGUACGGCCGCAAGGUUGAA
Molecule: ribosomal RNA, 376 nt
Filed under: uncultured bacterium
Lineage: Bacteria
Description: bacterial SSU rRNA
Rfam family: Bacterial small subunit ribosomal RNA
Source: RNAcentral